This is a non-coding RNA of Vicugna pacos (alpaca), 2165 nucleotides long. The record is from RefSeq and is a predicted model, not a curated record. NCBI's taxonomy places the organism in Eukaryota, Metazoa, Chordata, Mammalia, Artiodactyla, Camelidae.
CCCUCAACACACACACUAAUCUGCACAUUUCACCCGCGGAUUUGUGAGGGUGUCUGAGCCAGGCCUGGUGCUGCAGACCCAGCCGCGGGCAGUGUGAACCAGACCGCACCAACCAGCUUAUGGUCCAACUGGGGAGGACUCGACUUUGCACAAGAAAACCAGCCAAUGUACAAUUACAGAUUUUGGUGAACACUGGAAAAGGAAGACAUGAACAGGAGGAGGUUGUGAUGAAGAUAACGGGGCUGGCAGCGGCCCACAAAGGAAACCAGCUACUUGGGACAGCAUGUGAAGGCUGCCCCGAGAAGAUGAGGUUUGUGCCAAACUCUGAAGCUAGUUGGAGUUGACCUUCUGUCACUUGAAAUGGAAAAAGAUUAACCUAAUCACAGUUACCUUGCUGAAAUUUAGAAGAACCAGUCGGCAAAAUGACACAGGAACCAGUUGAAAACACCAGCGGACGGCACCCGAAGCAGCAGGAAAGAAGAGAAAGGUGCUCAAAGGCCAAACCCUCAGUACCAGAGACUUACAGCCAAGACCUCAGAGUCCAAGGAAAGUGGCUCAGAAGCCACGCCAGCUUCAUUCUGAAGUUCCCAGAGCUGUUUGUGGUCAGCAGUGCGGGCCAGAAUCUGCAGAAAGACCCAUGUUAGGACAAGCUUCUUGAACAUUUUGGCGAAGCCUCAUUGGACCUGUCAGCUGCUGAGAGGGCUGGGAAAAGAGAGCGCUGAAGGCUGUCUGUCACAUGCCCCCGACAUGAAAUCACUCCAGGGUUACUACCUCCCUUUGCCCACAGGACACAGCGCUCCUUGUGACCACACGGGGGCCACGGGCCAACCCCUCACAUCAGCAUGGCCCACCCUAGCUCACUGAUGCCCUUUGCCCUUCUCCAUUUGUUCUCACUGAAGCCCUGGAAUUAGGCGGCAGUACCAUCCCCAGUUUACAGAGGAGGAAACCCAGGCUGAAGAGAACCAUUUGCUCUAGGUCACUCCGCCUAGGAAGUGUUACAUUAAUGAAGGAGGGAGGCCUGAAUAAGCAAACUGUAAGCCAGGAAAUACCCCAAGGUUAUGAAAUUCAAACCCUAAGGACAACCAGUCACAAACAGCCAACUAGGCUUUAAGUGACAGUCAGUCAAAUAAUCUCUAUUCUUUGCUUCCUCACUUUCUCUACCUAUGUCUUUCCCCAGCUGCUGUCACAGGAACACUUAUAACCACUUCUCGUUUGGCACUGCCCAGUAGGAAUUGAUUUUUACCCCAAUAAACUCUUAAAUGUUUAAUCUCAGUUUAUCCUUUAGCAUCAGUGACUAGAGCCCAGAUUUUGUUUAAAAAAUUUUUGCGGGGGGAGAAGUAAUUAGGUGAAUUUAUUUAUUUAUCUUGUUUAAUGGAAGUACUGGGGAUUGGAAACCAGGACCUCGUGCAUGCUAAGCAGGCACUCUACCACUGAGCUAUAACCUCAGAGCCCAGAUUUUUUCAACCAUUAAUCCCUACAUUUGCAAUCAACCAUGGUCAAGUGGCCCCAGCAAAGGACCAAGAGUCUGGCAUGAGCCUAUUCCCUCUGACUGCAGGGUGCUCUGGCCUGGGCAUGUGCAUUCCUGGAUGUUCCAGUGAAGCAGCAUCAAGUCAUGGACCUCUCUGUAUCCUCUUUCCUUUCAAAACCCUGCUUAGGGGCCUGCCCACGUGGACAGAAGGCCGCUCCAAGCCCUCCUUCAGUCCCCACUUCCCCUACAGGGUUCAGGCCUCCGACUAGGAAGUUUUUACUUCAUUCUACUUGCUUUUUGUUUUGUUUGAAUGAGCUUUCUCAAAAAUAAGACUUACUUCCUCUCUUUCCAACAAGAAGUCAAACUCUGAAGGUUGUCGUUUAGAUUACAAAAAAGAAUCAUAUAUAUUUAAACAGAAAAUCAUGUUUUUCAAAUGCCUUGGUUUCAACACUGCCUUCCCAAACAAAGUUUUCUUCCGAGUCUUUUCCUGCUCUUUCGUGGUAGAGUGACCAUGUAAUUUAUUGUCCAAACAGGAGCCCUUUUAAGAAUGAAAGGGGACACUAUUAAUCCUGACACGGCCAUAUGAUCACCCUUCUUUGUAGAGGGAAGGGUUGUCAUCAUUUCUCGACAGGGCCCAGGAGAAUGCGGUGCACCACUUCCAGACAGCAAAUUGCAUUCGGGUACAUUAACGUCGGGC